This 239-nucleotide unclassified non-coding RNA is filed under the name uncultured Chroococcidiopsis sp. RNAcentral's name for it is "partial contains 16S ribosomal RNA, 16S-23S ribosomal RNA intergenic spacer, and 23S ribosomal RNA". It matches the Rfam family "Bacterial large subunit ribosomal RNA", at positions 2424 to 2650 of the family's 2925-position model. Lineage: Bacteria; Bacillati; Cyanobacteriota; Cyanophyceae; Chroococcidiopsidales; Chroococcidiopsidaceae. The record is from RNAcentral.
CGGUGCCGCAUGGAAGGCCGUCGCUCAACGGAUAAAGUUACUCUAGGAUAACAGGCUGAUCUCCCACAGUCACAUNUCGGAGGUUGGUGCCUCAUGUCGGCGUCAUCGCAACCUACGGGUCGGGAGGUAACGUUCCCAACGGGUUACGGGUCGUGUUCGUCCGACUUAAAGUACGGUACCGGUGAGCUGGGUUCGUAGAACGUACGUGAGACAGUUCGGUUCCGAUAUCCGGUGGCAGG